RNAcentral lists this ribosomal RNA (513 nucleotides) under uncultured bacterium. RNAcentral describes it as "partial 16S ribosomal RNA". It matches the Rfam family "Bacterial small subunit ribosomal RNA", at positions 30 to 523 of the family's 1533-position model. The record is from RNAcentral.
AUUGAACGCUGGCGGCGUGCCUAACACAUGCAAGUCGAACGCGGAAGGGGCUUCGGCCCUGAGUAAAGUGGCGCACGGGUGAGUACCGCGUGGAUAAUCUGCCGCAUUAUAUGGAAUAACGGCUGGAAACGGUCGCUAAUACCGUAUACGCUCCUAAUUUUAUAGAUUGGGGGGAAAGGGGGCCUCUGUAUAUGCUUCCGUAGUGCGAUGAGUCCGCGUCCCAUUAGCUAGUUGGUAAGGUAAUGGCUUACCAAGGCAACGAUGGGUAGCUGGUCUGAGAGGAUGACCCGCCACCCUGGAACUGAAUCACGGUCCAGACUCCGCGGGGAGGAAGCAGUGGGGAAUAUUGCGCAAGGGACGAAAGUCUGACGCAGCGACGCCGCGUGAGGGAUGAAGGUCUUCGGAUCGUAAACCUCUGUCAGGGGGGAAGAAUGGCGAGAGUGCUAAUCAGCUCUCGAUUGACGGUACCUCCAAAGGAAGCACCGGCUAACUCCGUGCCAGCCGCCGCGGUAA